CUGCCCUUUAGAAAAUUCCUAAAAAGUCCUGCUUCUCUGAGGAAUUUAAUGUUUUGAUAUGAAUAAGAACAUCAACAGAGAGUACAAAUAAGAGCCCUAAGAUGAAAGUUACUUACAUCAAGGCAUGGUGCUUGAGUAAGAUUACCAUGAAGUUUGGGUUCGGCAGCUUUCAUUCCAGCCAGACUGAAUAUUAUUUUUAAACUAU
This 205-nucleotide long non-coding RNA is filed under the name Elaeis guineensis (African oil palm). RNAcentral describes it as "long non-coding RNA (EGUI_LNC079925)". Lineage: Eukaryota; Viridiplantae; Streptophyta; Magnoliopsida; Arecales; Arecaceae. The record is from RNAcentral.